Salvia miltiorrhiza (redroot sage) is the source of this 756-nucleotide long non-coding RNA. RefSeq lists it as uncharacterized. The record is from RefSeq and is a predicted model, not a curated record. The transcript has 2 exons. NCBI's taxonomy places the organism in Eukaryota, Viridiplantae, Streptophyta, Magnoliopsida, Lamiales, Lamiaceae.
UUUCCAAAUGUACAAAGUAUGAUUGAGUUAUUAAGCUCUAAAUGUUUCAAUGAAAUGCAAAUUGUUUAUUUAAUGUAAUGAAAACUGUUUAUCCAAUAAAAUGUUUAUGUGCACUCUGCUCUGUUUAAGGCUCGCGCAGUUAAUCAAUUGAGAUUCUCUUAUGACCUAAUACGUUGUUUGAGAAUUGUGUACACUUGUUAGUUGACUCGGUGGGUUGAUCUCCAUCGGGCUCUAACCAGAGGCGUUAUAAGGGUGCUCGGCUGGAUGUGUUCCGGAGCAUGAGAAAUAUCAGGCCUGCCUGGGUAGCGUCCCGAGGUCAAUUCAACUUGUCUGAGUUACGUCCUCAGGGCAAGUGUCAGCGGGAGACAGAGAUCCGUCGGUGGCUAGAGGUCCGGGAUCACAGCGAGUAACAGAAAGGGAGUGUGACAUGUGCGCACAAAUGAAAGAAAAUGUUUUAACAUGCUUAGAAGUUGGCUGGCCGGUGCUGACGGGACGGAGCUGAGGCUAGCGAUAAAUUCCUAUGAUAGACUUCCGCUGUAGCAAUUACUCAUAUCAGUCUUUUGUUUUCCCAACUUAAGAUCUUCAUGUUAAAUUUCAAAUGAUAUACCUGACCGAGCUUAGACUCUUCACUACUUAAUUUAUGCCAAUGAAUGUCGGUUGUUAGAAGCAUGAAACAAAACUUGUGAUCCAAAGGGGCAUAGCCCGACUUUCUAUCCUAUUUCGGGUUUUUACAAGGUUGUUCCUUGUUUAUUUAUA